AUUGAACGCUGGCGGCAUGCUUUACACAUGCAAGUCGGACGAGUGGCGAACGGGUGAGUAACGCAUCGGCACGUUCCGCGUCAUGGGGGAUAACUGUCCGAAAGGACAGCUAAUACCGCAAAUUAUUCGAGCGGCCGAUGUCUGAUUGGAUGGUUGGCGGGGUAAAGGCUCACCAGGGCGACGAUCACGAGCGGGUCUGAGAGGAUGAACGGCCACACUGGAACUGAGACACGGCCCAGACUCCUACGGGAGGCAGCAGGGGGGAAUUUUGGACAAUGGGCGCAAGCCGGAUCCAGCCAUGCCGCGUGUCUGAAGAAGGCCUUCGGGUUUUAAAGGACUUUUAUCAGGGAAGCGGUACCUGAAGAAUAAGCACCGGCUAACUACGUGCCAGCAGCCGCGGUAAUAC
RNAcentral lists this ribosomal RNA (406 nucleotides) under uncultured bacterium. RNAcentral describes it as "partial 16S ribosomal RNA". It matches the Rfam family "Bacterial small subunit ribosomal RNA", at positions 30 to 526 of the family's 1533-position model. The record is from RNAcentral.